UAGGGAAUCUUCCGCAAUGGGCGAAAGCCUGACGGAGCAACGCCGCGUGAGUGAUGAAGGUCUUCGGAUCGUAAAACUCUGUUAUUAGGGAAGAACAAAUGUGUAAGUAACUAUGCACGUCUUUACGGUACCUAAUCAGAAAGCCACGGCUAACUACGUGCCAGCAGCCGCGGUAAUACGUAGGUGGCAAGCGUUAUCCGGAAUUAUUGGGCGUAAAGCGCGCGUAGGCGGUUUUUUAAGUCUGAUGUGAAAGCCCACGGCUCAACCGUGGAGGGUCAUUGGAAACUGAAAAACUUGAGUGCAGAAGAGGAAAGUGGAAUUCCAUGUGUAGCGGUGAAAUGCGCAGAGAUAUGGAGGAACACCAGUGGCGAAGGCGACUUUAUGGUCUGUAACUGACGCUGAUGUGCGAAAGCGAGGGGAUCAAACCGG
Molecule: ribosomal RNA, 429 nt
Filed under: Actinomycetes bacterium
Lineage: Bacteria; Bacillati; Actinomycetota; Actinomycetes
Description: Actinobacteria bacterium partial 16S ribosomal RNA
Rfam family: Bacterial small subunit ribosomal RNA
Source: RNAcentral